Molecule: unclassified non-coding RNA, 510 nt
Filed under: Hevea brasiliensis (rubber tree)
Lineage: Eukaryota; Viridiplantae; Streptophyta; Magnoliopsida; Malpighiales; Euphorbiaceae
Source: RNAcentral
UGGGAGCAAUAUUACCCCUUUCUCGUCGGAAACCAUGGGGAUUUGGGUUCCUCAAGCGCCCGCUCCUCUAUGCCCAUCUCAAAAUUAUCCACAAAUGGGAGGGCAAAUUGGGGGAUAAAGGAGACGAAGGAGGCAGCAAUCAUGAAAGCUAACAACAAAAGGUGGACUGAUGAUGCAUUUACGGUUCCACAGAUUAGCACUCCAUCCACUGGUUUCAAGAGAUCUAGACUGUUCUGGUAGGACAAAACUGGCAUGCUCUUGUCCAGUAAUAUCAAGAACAAUGCCUCAUGCUUUGUAUUUUUUAUAUAGCAAGUUUCUUCAUAUCUGGUUUAUUUAAAGUGUAUCUGCCCCUCUUUCUCUUUUUGCACGUGAUCCAAUCCCACUAGUUUUUGGAUUUUGUUUCUGUUUUUCCUUAGUUCCUUGUACUUGCAAAAUGUAGACAUCUUCUGUAUAUACGAAUAAACCUAGCUUUUUUCCUUUUCCAUUCUAUUAUUGUAAGUGUGAUGAAAG